Molecule: ribosomal RNA, 497 nt
Filed under: uncultured bacterium
Lineage: Bacteria
Description: partial 16S ribosomal RNA
Rfam family: Bacterial small subunit ribosomal RNA
Source: RNAcentral
GAUGAACGCUGGCGGCGUGCCUAAUACAUGCAAGUCGAGCGAACAGACGAGGAGCUUGCUCCUCUGACGUUAGCGGCGGACGGGUGAGUAACACGUGGAUAACCUACCUAUAAGACUGGGAUAACUUCGGGAAACCGGAGCUAAUACCGGAUAAUAUAUUGAACCGCAUGGUUCAAUAGUGAAAGACGGUUUUGCUGUCACUUAUAGAUGGAUCCGCGCCGCAUUAGCUAGUUGGUAAGGUAACGGCUUACCAAGGCGACGAUGCGUAGCCGACCUGAGAGGGUGAUCGGCCACACUGGAACUGAGACACGGUCCAGACUCCUACGGGAGGCAGCAGUAGGGAAUCUUCUGCAAUGGGCGAAAGCCUGACGGAGCAACGCCGCGUGAGUGAUGAAGGUCUUCGGAUCGUAAAACUCUGUUAUUAGGGAAGAACAAAUGUGUAAGUAACUAUGCACGUCUUGACGGUACCUAAUCAGAAAGCCACGGCUAACUACGUG